AGUGAACGCUGGCGGCAGGCCUAACACAUGCAAGUCGAGCGGCAGCGGGUCCUUCGGGAUGCCGGCGAGCGGCGGACGGGUGAGGAAUGCGUCGGAAUCUGCCUUUUUGUGGGGGAUAACGUAGGGAAACUUACGCUAAUACCGCAUACGACCUACGGGUGAAAGUGGGGGACCGCAAGGCCUCACGCAGAAAGAUGAGCCGACGUCGGAUUAGCUAGUUGGCGGGGUAAAGGCCCACCAAGGCGACGAUCCGUAGCUGGUCUGAGAGGAUGAUCAGCCACACUGGAACUGAGACACGGUCCAGACUCCUACGGGAGGCAGCAGUGGGGAAUAUUGGACAAUGGGCGCAAGCCUGAUCCAGCCAUGCCGCGUGUGUGAAGAAGGCCUUCGGGUUGUAAAGCCCUUUUGUCCGGAAAGAAAUCCUGUCGGCUAAUACCCGGCGGGGAUGACGGUACCGGAAGAAUAAGCACCGGCUAACUUCGUG
RNAcentral lists this ribosomal RNA (484 nucleotides) under uncultured bacterium. RNAcentral's name for it is "partial 16S ribosomal RNA". It matches the Rfam family "Bacterial small subunit ribosomal RNA", at positions 29 to 507 of the family's 1533-position model. The record is from RNAcentral.